UCCAUCUUCAUCCUUGUUACUGCAAAUGACAUGAUUUAUUUUCUGUUUCCUUUAGGUGCAAUAUUAUACUAAUUUGAGAUCUUUCUAACAUCAUGACGAAGGUUGUCAGAACCAUAACUUUUCAUAUUGACACUGCUUCAGCAGCAAACCAAAGAUGUUGUCCUGUGAAGAAGUAACUCCUCAAGUUUCCUGAGGCUUCCCCAUGCCUGCAGAACUGUAAGUCAAUGAAACCUCUCUUUUUAAUAUAAAUUACCCAGUGGCAGUGUGAUUUCCUUUCAAAAAUGUGAGAAUGGACUCAUGCAUAGGCCUAAUGCAAUCACAAGUGUUGUGAUAACAGGGAAGCAGAAGUAGUAUAUUCAGAGGAGAUGUGAAUAUUGAAACGAAGGUUGGAGUGAUGCAGUACCAGAAGUUGAUAAUGUGGGCAGCUUUUAAAAGUUAAGAAAGGUAUGGAAAUAAAAUUGUCCCUAGA
Callithrix jacchus (white-tufted-ear marmoset) is the source of this 469-nucleotide long non-coding RNA. The record is from Ensembl. NCBI's taxonomy places the organism in Eukaryota, Metazoa, Chordata, Mammalia, Primates, Cebidae.